GGCCGAUUAGCAAGUGGGACACGCGGCGGACUGUUAAUCCGUGAAUUACCUGGUUCGACUCCAGGAUUGGCCG
This 73-nucleotide transfer RNA is filed under the name Xanthomonas phage vB_XveM_DIBBI. It matches the Rfam family "tRNA". Rfam says of the family: Transfer RNA (tRNA) molecules are approximately 80 nucleotides in length. The record is from Rfam by way of RNAcentral. RNAcentral also lists the same sequence under 1 other name. Lineage: Duplodnaviria; Heunggongvirae; Uroviricota; Caudoviricetes.